Small nucleolar RNA from Lachancea thermotolerans CBS 6340, 206 nucleotides. The record is from RefSeq and is a predicted model, not a curated record. Lineage: Eukaryota; Fungi; Ascomycota; Saccharomycetes; Saccharomycetales; Saccharomycetaceae.
CGCGUCACGUGACGCAGCCGGCUCUGAGUGAUGACCUUUUCCGACCGGGCGGACAUACCAAGUAUCGGUGGGCCACGCUCCGCGUAGUCGCGCUCCCUGUGUACAAAAUUUUGGGGGCGCUGGCCGGCCGAGAAUUGAUGAAUGGUCGUGAGACAGCUGACUAGAGCCUGCUGCGCGCGUGCCGGCGGCACCGGACCGCCCUUGUA